AUUGAACGCUGGCGGCAGGCCUAACACAUGCAAGUCGAACGGUAACAGAAAGCAGCUUGCUGCUUUGCUGACGAGUGGCGGACGGGUGAGUAAUGUCUGGGAAACUGUCUGAUGGAGGGGGAUAACUACUGGAAACGGUAGCUAAUACCGCAUAACGUCGCAAGACCAAAGAGGGGGACCUUCGGGCCUCUUGCCAUCGGAUGUGCCCAGAUGGGAUUAGCUAGUAGGUGGGGUAACGGCUCACCUAGGCGACGAUCCCUAGCUGGUCUGAGAGGAUGACCAGCCACACUGGAACUGAGACACGGUCCAGACUCCUACGGGAGGCAGCAGUGGGGAAUAUUGCACAAUGGGCGCAAGCCUGAUGCAGCCAUGCCGCGUGUAUGAAGAAGGCCUUCGGGUUGUAAAGUACUUUCAGCGGGGAGGAAGGGAGUAAAGUUAAUACCUUUGCUCAUUGACGUUACCCGCAGAAGAAGCACCGGCUAACUCCGUG
RNAcentral lists this ribosomal RNA (490 nucleotides) under uncultured bacterium. RNAcentral's name for it is "partial 16S ribosomal RNA". It matches the Rfam family "Bacterial small subunit ribosomal RNA", at positions 30 to 507 of the family's 1533-position model. The record is from RNAcentral.